GUUGUGUUGACGCGCUGGAGGAGUCUUUAAUGUGCGCAUGCGCGCUGCGUGCAAAUUAGCUUCCUAGUUGUUUACAUUAUAUAACUUUAUCCAGCGCUACUAUCGAGGUGUGUUGGGUAUUCUAGAUGCGUUCAUAUGCUAAAUAAAAGCAGUAGCACGUUGUAAAUUAGCUGCUCGACGGUUGUGACAUGAACAUCAGGGAUAAGGAGCUAAAGAUUCGCUUUACCCCAGGUCACGUGGAGCUCGUGCAGGAGGAAGGGUACAGUCCAUCCCAGCGUGUACUGGUGACCGGUGCUACCGGUCUGCUUGGACGUGCAGUCUACAAGGAGUUCCACAACAAUGACUGGGACACGCUGGGGUGUGGAUACACUCGCGCUCGGCCUCGCUUCCUCAGCUGCAACCUGCAGGAUGAGGAGGCUGUGCGGGAGGUUAUUCAAAACUUCCAGCCCCAUGUAAUCGUACACUGUGCUGCUGAGAGAAGGCCAGAUGUGGUGGAGCAUCACACAGAAGCAGCCUUGGAACUGAAUGUACAUGCAUGUGCUACACUGGCAAAAGAAGCAGCUGGCAUCUUUCUGAUCUACAUCAGCACCGAUUAUGUGUUUGAUGGACGCAAUCCCCCAUAUGGAGAAAACGACACCCCCAACCCGUUAAACAUGUAUGGGAAAUCGAAGCUUUGGGGGGAAGGCGAGAUACUCAGACACUGUCCAGGUGCUGCAAUACUCAGGGUGCCCAUUCUGUAUGGAGAGGUAGAGAAGGUGGAGGAGAGCGCCAUCACUGUGCUGUGGGAUCGCAUUCAGGAAGGAGCCGAGAGCACAACUGUGGACCACUGCCAGCAGCGCUUUCCCACCUACACCAGCGACGUGGCACGUGUCUGCAGGAACAUGGCUGAGCGAGGGCUUCAGCAAUGGCAAAUGCUUUUCCUUUCGAUGAAUGAAGAUGUCAGAAAUGUACCACGACCCGAGUUUGCGUGGGAUCUUCCAUUAUUCUGGAAAAGAACAGAUGACUAAAUAUGAGAUGUCCUGUGCUAUUGCAGAGGCGUUUAACCUGCCCAGGAGUCACCUGAUACCGUUGACGGAGCAGCCUGCUGGAGCCGGAGCUCAGAGACCGCAGAACGCACAGCUGGAAUGUUCUCGUUUGGAGCUGCUUGGGCUGAGCGUGGACCCGACUCCAUUUAAAACAGCAAUUAGAAACUGUCUCUGGCCAUUCCUCCACGAUAAACGCUGGAGACAGACCGUCUUUCACUGAGCGACAAAGCAUACAUUCCUGAUUGGUCAGAAAAUCGCGCCAAUCUGUUUACAAGUGAAACAGAUUUGGUUGAUUAAAGUGAUAUUAACACGUACAGCAAUUCAUUUAUUAUUUUGUCCUUCUUUACAUGUUGCACUAAAGGGAAUAGUAUUGGUGCUCAAGGCAGUUGUGGAUAAUUUGUGCAUUCUUAUAGAACUGCUUGAUUAGUCUGUAUUGCAGUUACAGUGUUGUCAAUUUUGUUGUCUUCGGUGUGACAAUUUCCAGAAAAUGUGAAAAAAUAAAUAAAUAAGAGAAAAACA
This is an RNA transcript of Tachysurus fulvidraco (yellow catfish), 1544 nucleotides long. It is a transcript of the gene named methionine adenosyltransferase II, beta, with no coding region annotated. The transcript is spliced from 8 exons. NCBI's taxonomy places the organism in Eukaryota, Metazoa, Chordata, Actinopteri, Siluriformes, Bagridae. The record is from RefSeq and is a predicted model, not a curated record.